Molecule: ribosomal RNA, 348 nt
Filed under: Triticum aestivum (bread wheat)
Lineage: Eukaryota; Viridiplantae; Streptophyta; Magnoliopsida; Poales; Poaceae
Description: partial small subunit ribosomal RNA
Source: RNAcentral
GCCGCCUCCUCCAGCGUCGCGAACUCUGGCCUCUCUGGCCAGAUCACCGAAAAGUUGACCCGCACCAACUUCAUCCUGUGGCGCACGCAGAUCACGCCACAGCUCCGAGGUGCGGGCUUCUUCGGCUACGUCGACGGCAGCAUGCCGGAGCCGGCCAAAGUCAUCGUCAUGAAGGACAAGGACGGGAAGGAGGAGUCUACACCGAACCCCCUUCAUCCGAUCUGGAUCCGUGAAGAUCAGCAGGUACUAGGAUACCUUCUGAAUAAUCUCUCCAAAGAGGUACUUGUGCAGGUCACAUCGAUCGGCCAUGCCCAUGAUCUCUGGACAGCGCUGUCGAGCAUGUUCUCG